Molecule: transfer RNA, 77 nt
Filed under: Priestia aryabhattai
Lineage: Bacteria; Bacillati; Bacillota; Bacilli; Caryophanales; Bacillaceae
Description: tRNA-Met
Rfam family: tRNA
About the family: Transfer RNA (tRNA) molecules are approximately 80 nucleotides in length. Their secondary structure includes four short double-helical elements and three loops (D, anti-codon, and T loops). Further hydrogen bonds mediate the characteristic L-shaped molecular structure. tRNAs have two regions of fundamental functional importance: the anti-codon, which is responsible for specific mRNA codon recognition, and the 3' end, to which the tRNAs corresponding amino acid is attached (by aminoacyl-tRNA synthetases). tRNAs cope with the degeneracy of the genetic code in two manners: having more than one tRNA (with a specific anti-codon) for a particular amino acid; and 'wobble' base-pairing, i.e. permitting non-standard base-pairing at the 3rd anti-codon position.
Source: RNAcentral
CGCGGGGUGGAGCAGUUCGGUAGCUCGUCGGGCUCAUAACCCGAAGGUCGCAGGUUCAAAUCCUGUCCCAGCAACCA